CAAUAGCGUAUAUUAAAGUUGUUGCGGUUAAAAAGCUCGUAGUUGGAUUUCUGCUGAGGACGAUCGGUCCGCCCACUGGGUGAGUAUCUGGCUCGGCCUUGGCAUCUUCUUGGAGAACGUUGCUGCACUUGACUGUGUGGUGCGGUAUCCAGGACUUUUACUUUGAGGAAAUUAGAGUGUUUCAAGCAGGCGCACGCCUUGAAUACAUUAGCAUGGAAUAAUAAGAUAGGACCUUAGUUCUAUUUUGUUGGUUUCUAGAGCUGAGGUAAUGAUUAAUAGGGAUAGUUGGGGGCAUUCGUAUUUAACUGUCAGAGGUGAAAUUCCUGGAUUUGUUAAAGACGGACUACUGCGAAAGCAUUUGCCAAGGAUGUUUUCAUUGA
RNAcentral lists this ribosomal RNA (380 nucleotides) under uncultured eukaryote. Its description in RNAcentral is "partial 18S ribosomal RNA". It matches the Rfam family "Eukaryotic small subunit ribosomal RNA", at positions 592 to 976 of the family's 1831-position model. The record is from RNAcentral.